This 425-nucleotide ribosomal RNA is filed under the name uncultured bacterium. Its description in RNAcentral is "bacterial SSU rRNA". It matches the Rfam family "Bacterial small subunit ribosomal RNA", at positions 356 to 773 of the family's 1533-position model. The record is from RNAcentral.
GGGGAAUUUUGGACAAUGGACGCAAGUCUGAUCCAGCCAUUCCGCGUGCAGGAUGAAGGCCCUCGGGUUGUAAACUGCUUUUGUACGGAACGAAAAGGUCUCUAUUAAUACUGGGGGCUCAUGACGGUACCGUAAGAAUAAGCACCGGCUAACUACGUGCCAGCAGCCGCGGUAAUACGUAGGGUGCAAGCGUUAAUCGGAAUUACUGGGCGUAAAGCGUGCGCAGGCGGUUAUAUAAGACAGAUGUGAAAUCCCCGGGCUCAACCUGGGAACUGCAUUUGUGACUGUAUAGCUAGAGUACGGUAGAGGGGGAUGGAAUUCCGCGUGUAGCAGUGAAAUGCGUAGAUAUGCGGAGGAACACCGAUGGCGAAGGCAAUCCCCUGGACCUGUACUGACGCUCAUGCACGAAAGCGUGGGGAGCAAAC